Molecule: long non-coding RNA, 693 nt
Organism: Oncorhynchus keta (chum salmon)
Lineage: Eukaryota; Metazoa; Chordata; Actinopteri; Salmoniformes; Salmonidae
Exons: 2
Source: RefSeq, a predicted model, not a curated record
GUGACGGGGAUUUCCCCAAGGGCAUAAAGCGAGGGUAAAUGGACGAGGGUGUGUCUUUUAUGAGUUCGAAUCGCAACACAGACGGUCUGACAUAGACCAUUUAGAAUUGCAUGAUUACGGAUUCAACAAGCUGCAGUGCAUAAUGGCCAUUUGCACUGAUGCGUUCUUUUGUCUGGCAUAUUAUUUCCUCAGACAUGUCUAAUAAUCUCCUCAUGGUGUCAUUGGAUAGGGGUAUGGUGUUACGUUUGUUUGCGUACGACUCCCAAAUUUUCAGUGCACAUAUCAAUCGCACCAGGGAGUAUGAGAUCCUCUGCGCUGGUGUGGGCGUUUUUGCACUACAAUGCGCUGGUUCACAAGGGACCGGGUUGUCUGCCUUGUUGUUGACAUUGGAAGCCGCAGUGGAUGAAGAGGGAGCUGCACGUUUUAUAAACAUGUCCAUGAUUUUUCUCUGACAGAUACAGUAUCCUACAUGAGUUAAAUGACAGCUAACUAUCCACAUGUGCAAUGCAUGCAGAACAAAUCUGCAUAGUUAGCUGUCAAUCAAGCUAGCCAUAAGAAGAUCUGUAUUAGGGUACUAGGGGGUAACUGGCCCCUAAAAACAAUGUCUAAAUGCUGACACAAAACAAUUGGUGUGUGGAUGAAGGUCAUGUUAACUAUAAAGGGAAAUAAAUCGUUAGAGUUUACAUUUUUUAA